UGGGAAUUUGGACAAUGGGCGAAAGCCUGAUCCAGCAAUGCCGCGUGUGUGAAGAAGGCCUUCGGGUUGUAAAGCACUUUUGUCCGGAAAGAAAUCCUUGGCUCUAAUACAGUCGGGGGAUGACGGUACCGGAAGAAUAAGCACCGGCUAACUACGUGCCAGCAGCCGCGGUAAUACGUAGGGUGCAAGCGUUAAUCGGAAUUACUGGGCGUAAAGCGUGCGCAGGCGGUUUGCUAAGACCGAUGUGAAAUCCCCGGGCUCAACCUGGGAACUGCAUUGGUGACUGGCAGGCUAGAGUAUGGCAGAGGGGGGUAGAAUUCCACGUGUAGCAGUGAAAUGCGUAGAGAUGUGGAGGAAUACCGAUGGCGAAGGCAGCCCCCUGGGCAAGUACUGACGCUCAUGCACGAAAGCGU
RNAcentral lists this ribosomal RNA (413 nucleotides) under uncultured bacterium. Its description in RNAcentral is "partial 16S ribosomal RNA". It matches the Rfam family "Bacterial small subunit ribosomal RNA", at positions 357 to 762 of the family's 1533-position model. The record is from RNAcentral.